This 470-nucleotide ribosomal RNA is filed under the name uncultured bacterium. Its description in RNAcentral is "bacterial SSU rRNA". It matches the Rfam family "Bacterial small subunit ribosomal RNA", at positions 329 to 793 of the family's 1533-position model. The record is from RNAcentral.
CUACGCACUCCUACGGGAGGCAGCAGUGGGGAAUAUUGCACAAUGGGCGCAAGCCUGAUGCAGCCAUGCCGCGUGUAUGAAGAAGGCCUUCGGGUUGUAAAGUACUUUCAGCAGUGAGGAAGUGGGUAUGUUAAUAGCAUACUCAUUUGACGUUAGCUGCAGAAGAAGCACCGGCUAACUCCGUGCCAGCAGCCGCGGUAAUACGGAGGGUGCGAGCGUUAAUCGGAAUUACUGGGCGUAAAGCGCAUGCAGGUGGUUUGUUAAGUCAGAUGUGAAAGCCCGGGGCUCAACCUCGGAAUUGCAUUUGAAACUGGCAAACUAGAGUACUGUAGAGGGGGUAGAAUUUCAGGUGUAGCGGUGAAAUGCGUAGAGAUCUGAAGGAAUACCGGUGGCGAAGGCGGCCCCCUGGACAGAUACUGACACUCAGAUGCGAAAGCGUGGGGAGCAAACAGGAUUAGAUACCCUGGUAG